AGGUGAAGGCGGACAUUACGCAUAAAGUAAUUAGAAGGCUCCGGCAGAAAUUUGGUGAACGCAGGUCCAAAGAACAAAUAAGAAAGAGGUGGUCAGACCUGAAAAAAAGAGAGCCAGAGCAACUUCAGGCAAUAAAAAGAUUGAUUAGAGCAAAAAGUAAGUUCAUUUUAUGUGCCCUAAUUUUAGGUGUUUGUUCUUUGUGCCAUGUGCUUUUCCCUUCAGGUUGAAAUGUAUUUGUGUGGGCACAAUAAUUUGUCGUAUGAGUUGUCGUUCAUUCGUUAAUUUAACUAAUAUUAAACGACGAUAUUCCCGAUAAUUUGCAACAUGCCUAGUUCACAUGGACAAAUUGUAGUGCAAUCACUGUAUCAGCCACAAAUAAAAACGUAUUUGUCUGAUUUAUGUUAUAACGAACGACGACUCAUACGACCAGUUCCUGUGUUCCCAAAUAUUCCACUUUACACAAAUUUUUGGGGUUUAAUGUGACAUCAAUUUGUAAACAUUUAUGUAGAUGUUUACCUAAUUAGAUCUUAAUAAUUUGUAUCUAAAAUAUGCACAAAAAGGACAGUGUACUCAGCAGAGGAUUAUACACAUAGGGAUUUAUUUGGUUUAGAAUUGUGAUUUAAAGUUUCAUCCCUCUAAAAUUUUACCAUUCUGUUUUCCCUUUCUUAAAUCUCGUAGGGCGAAAGGAAGCAUCAAGGCAGGACGCAAGUUCGCAAGCCACACCCCCGAGGGAUCUUGAUGAAGGGGAAGCUGCCACCACAUCUGGAGCAACUCGUGCUGGCUCUUCAAUUGACAGGGACACUGCCCAGCUCCUCAUUGCAGAAAUUUGGUCCUGCCGGGAAAAGAAUGAAGACCUACAGAUAGCAGCCCGGAAAAUACUUAAAAAUGCAAAAAGUGUUGAGGUCCAGUUGAAAAAUCUACUGGAUGUUUUGGGUAGGGUGUGAA
Molecule: long non-coding RNA, 945 nt
Organism: Rana temporaria (common frog)
Lineage: Eukaryota; Metazoa; Chordata; Amphibia; Anura; Ranidae
Exons: 2
Source: RefSeq, a predicted model, not a curated record